Sinocyclocheilus grahami is the source of this 2776-nucleotide long non-coding RNA. NCBI's taxonomy places the organism in Eukaryota, Metazoa, Chordata, Actinopteri, Cypriniformes, Cyprinidae. The record is from Ensembl.
GUUUUUCACGUAUUUUUGUUUUCUGGCUAGUGUUUUGCAUGAAGCUCUACAGAAGCGAGCGUAUCCUUGGGUGAGCGCACCUUUGAAAUCUCUGCCGUCAGAGCUGAUUGCCUUUGAAGUGCUUUGGUAAUGAAAUGGUUGUGGAGUUUCUGGUAGGAAUAAGAAAUGCUGUCGCACGUCUUCCUGUCUUACCUCCAGCCCCCUGCAAUCAGAAAGAGGUGUGUGUGCAUUGAUUUGGUGUGGAGGAGCACUGGAUGGCUUCCAGGAGCAAUGAGCUUAAGCUGCCUCCUGUAACGCUCUAUUAACUCACGCUUUACCGUGCUAACAUUACAGCAUGGUUGUCAUAGCAACAGUCACACUGCAGGACUGUGACCCAAAAUUUCAGUCAGAACAUCUACAUCCGAAAUUCAUUGCACAGAUGGAAAAUGCUGCCGUUGGAAAGGAGCAACAGUUCAUAAAAACCUUGGAAAAGUGCAAAACUUCAAUUUCCUUCGAUCUGCAUCUGCCUUUGCUCAUCUCUCUUACCGUCGGUCGCCGCAGCUCUGCUCUUCUGGUCUCAUCUGGGCGUGUGUAUUUGGCUCUGAAGGUCUGCUGGGAUGUUGACAGCGCUCUUCAGGUUGACUCGGCGUUGCGUAAACAGAGAUUAGUGACCAUCCUGGCUCUUAAUUAAAGUCAGAAAGCUGCCAGGAGACACACCAGGCCAUCAAAUAUUAAUCUAGACAGUUCCCGCAGCAGGCCAGCCCUCCACUCAUGGGGUUCCAGCGGGUGUAUCACCAUGAUGUGCUGCCGCACACGGUCCAGAGGGAUCGCUGAGUGUCAUGACAGAUCAAAUGAUGCAAUGGAACUGGAGGGGGGAGCGAGACGCCAGUGAAACAUUCAGAUGACGGCCUGUGAAUGUCUUUCUUCAGACCCCGCCGAUGGCCUGUAAUGAGCCUAUGUUUCAUUCUGAGGGAUCACGUCCACGUCUGACGGAGGUCUCAAUGUCAUCGCCUUCUUGCCUGUCUGUAGCAUCUCUGAUCUAUUGGACUAUAAGAACGACACUGCGAAUUUAAGGUGUUUAUGUCACAGGCUUUAGACGUGGUACUUUAGGGUUAAAGAGAUAAGGGUUUAGGAUUAGAUUUAGCAUUCAAGGUUGUCUGCUUUAUAGUUUAGAAUUUACAUUUAGUCAUUUGGUAAAUGGUUUUAUCAAACGUGAAUUAGAAACAGUAAUGGUCAAAAAGGGUUAGGUUUAGUCUUGGAUUGUAGACUUUAGGUUAAAGGUUUAGGGUUGAAGUAUGGAGUUUAGACAUUGAGUGAUUUUUUGUUUUAAUGGUUUAUGUUCACGAUUUAGAUUUUAAAUGUGUUUAAGACUUAGUGAAAGAGCUCAUGAUUUAGUUUAGUCUGAAUUAUUUUUUUUCUUUCAUUUGUUGACUUUGGAGUUUAGGGUUAAGGCUUUGGAAUUAAGACAUUAAAUUAGUUUUUGCUUUAAGGGUUGUUUUGUUUUAAGGGUGUGUUUUUUUUGGAGUUUAGGGUUAAGGCUUUGGAAUUAAGACAUUAAAGUAGUUUUUGUUUUAAGGGUUGUUUUGUUUUAAGGUUGUUGUUUUUUUAUUUGGAGUUGGAGUUGGAGUUUAGGGUUUAGGCUUUUGAAUUAAGACAUUAAAUUAGUUUUUGUUUUAAGGUUUUUUGUUUUGUUUUUUUGCUUUGGAGUUUAGGGUUAAGGCUUUGGAAUUAAGACAUUAAAUUAGUUUUUGUUUUAAGGGUUGUUUUUUGGCUUUGGAGUUUAGGGUUAAGGCUUUGGAAUUUAGACAUUUAAUUAGAUUUUGUUUUGUUUUUUUGGCUUUGGAGUUUAGGUUUUGGAAUUUAGACAUUAAAUUUGCUUUUGUUUUAAGGGUUUAUGUUCAAGUUUUAGGGUCUAAAUGUGUUUAAGACUUAGUGUUUAAAAACUUCUUAAAAAGUUCAAGAUUUGGAUUUGGUCUGAAGGAUUUAGUCUGUCUUGUUUUGUUUUGGAGUUUAGACAUUCAAUUAGUUUUUGUUUUAAGGGUUUAUGUUCAUGUUUUAGAAUUUAAAUGCAGUUUUAAGGGUUUAGGUUGUUACUGAUGGAGUUUCUGGUUUAAAGUAAGGUAGUAAGGGUUUAGGUUUAGUCAUUUUGUAGGUUCUUUUAUUGAAAGGGACUUAUAAAUGACCAACAUCGCCAGCAAUCUCUCUCCGAAGAGCCAACAAUACCACAAUUUUAGGAUUGGUUUUAGCGUUACAUUUAGUCUUUACUGUUUAGAUUGUAGAUUUUGUGGUUAAAGGUUUAGGAUUGCGGUUUAGAGAUAAGACUUUAAAUUAGUUUUAGUUUUAAGGGUUUAUAUUCGAGUUUUGAUAUUUAAAUGUGUUUAGGACUUAGAGUUAAAGAGUUCAGGGUUUGGAUUCAGUCUGAAGGGUUUUUUAAGGCUUUUGGGGUUUAGAGUUUGUUGUUAAAAUUGUUUUGUUUAUGACUUAGUUUAGUGUUAGAUGUUAAUUGAGUUUUUAGGGUUUAGGUUGUUGCUGUUGAUGUUUAGAGAUUAAAGUUAAAUAUUACAGGAUUGGGAUUUAGAUUUAGUAUUCAGAGUGUAGGUUGUAGGAUUUAUAUUAGGUUUUACAUUUAUUGAUUAGAUGCUUUUUAUCACAAGCCAUCUCACAUAUGAGAGCCAACAAUACCACAUUUUUAGCAUUUUGGAGUUGAGGUUUAAAGUUAAGACAUUAUAUAGAGUUUUAAGUGUUUGUUCAAGUUUUAGGAAUUAUAUGUUGUGUUUAGGAUUUUUAAAGAACGUUU